CUGAAACCUCUAGUCGUAAAAGAUCUGACGUCUAAAACCCCUAACGAAACGCAAAAACCCUCUUGACAAAACGAAGCCCCUCCUCAUUGUCACUGGCCAACCCAAAACCCAAAGUCAUGUCAUCCGCCGCCGCCACAGCCGCCAGGUUCGUCCUCCGCUCCACAUCGGCACGAACCGCCUCGGCGGCUAGGCUUACAGCCGGAGCCGGAGCUAGGGCCAGACCCGCAAGCUCACCAUUUCGUAUCCCCAAACAAAACCCUAUCGCACAUCGCAUUUUCAGGUCUCCUGUGGAGAUGAGCUGCUGCGUGGAAACGCUGCUUCCGUAUCACACUGCCACUGCUUCUGCAUUGCUCAACUCCAUGCUCUCCGCCUCUCUCCGCAGCUACUGUUGGACUCCUGAAGGGCAAGAGAAGACUAGAUGAAGAUCAAGCAUCAAAUUCAGAUUUCCUCGGAUUUGUUUUUGUUGUGUGCUUUGAAAGUAUUGAUGGAUGAUUGUUGUUGGGGUGCCGUACCUUGAUCAUAAUUUCCAUGGAUUUCAAUGGACUUUGUAAGACUUGCUUGAGGCAUUAUUCUCAAUGAUCGGAUAUGAAAGUCAAAAGAUUAAUAGUCGUUCCACAGGCACUGAAGAAGUAGGUAUCAUAAUGAGACUAGAUUGUUCUUAUCUUUUCAAAUACUGCAUUACAGUGCUAGAUCAACUCUCCUCUUAUACGAGUUAUGGAUGAUUGUCUCUUCAAGAAA
This is an RNA transcript of Carya illinoinensis, 738 nucleotides long. It is a transcript of the gene named protein NUCLEAR FUSION DEFECTIVE 6, mitochondrial-like, with no coding region annotated. The record is from RefSeq and is a predicted model, not a curated record. Lineage: Eukaryota; Viridiplantae; Streptophyta; Magnoliopsida; Fagales; Juglandaceae. The transcript has 4 exons.